Molecule: ribosomal RNA, 560 nt
Filed under: uncultured bacterium
Lineage: Bacteria
Description: bacterial SSU rRNA
Rfam family: Bacterial small subunit ribosomal RNA
Source: RNAcentral
CCUACGGGAGGCAGCAGUGGGGAAUCUUGCGCAAUGGGCGAAAGCCUGACGCAGCCAUGCCGCGUGAAUGAUGAAGGUCUUAGGAUUGUAAAAUUCUUUCACCGGGGACGAUAAUGACGGUACCCGGAGAAGAAGCCCCGGCUAACUUCGUGCCAGCAGCCGCGGUAAUACGAAGGGGGCUAGCGUUGCUCGGAAUUACUGGGCGUAAAGGGAGCGUAGGCGGAUAGUUUAGUCAGAGGUGAAAGCCCAGGGCUCAACCUUGGAAUUGCCUUUGAUACUGGCUAUCUUGAGUAUGGGAGAGGUAUGCGGAACUCCGAGUGUAGAGGUGAAAUUCGUAGAUAUUCGGAAGAACACCAGUGGCGAAGGCGGCAUACUGGCCCAUUACUGACGCUGAGGCUCGAAAGCGUGGGGAGCAAACAGGAUUAGAUACCCUGGUAGUCCACGCUGUAAACGAUGAGUGCUAGUUGUCGGCAUGCAUGCAUGUCGGUGACGCAGCUAACGCAUUAAGCACUCCGCCUGGGGAGUACGGUCGCAAGAUUAAAACUCAAAGGAAUUGACGG